CCUACGGGAGACAGCAGUGAGGAAUAUUGGUCAAUGGACGAGAGUCUGAACCAGCCAAGUAGCGUGAAGGAUGACUGCCCUAUGGGUUGUAAACUUCUUUUAUAUGGGAAUAAAAUGUUCCACGUGUGGGAUUUUGUAUGUACCAUAUGAAUAAGGAUCGGCUAACUCCGUGCCAGCAGCCGCGGUAAUACGGAGGAUCCGAGCGUUAUCCGGAUUUAUUGGGUUUAAAGGGAGCGUAGGUGGAUUGUUAAGUCAGUUGUGAAAGUUUGCGGCUCAACCGUAAAAUUGCAGUUGAAACUGGCAGUCUUGAGUACAGUAGAGGUGGGCGGAAUUCGUGGUGUAGCGGUGAAAUGCUUAGAUGUCACGAAGAACUCCGAUUGCGAAGGCAGUUCACUGGACUGCAACUGACACUGAGGCUCGAAAGUGUGGGUAUCAAACAGGAUUAGAUACCCUUGUAGUC
Molecule: ribosomal RNA, 460 nt
Filed under: uncultured bacterium
Lineage: Bacteria
Description: partial 16S ribosomal RNA
Rfam family: Bacterial small subunit ribosomal RNA
Source: RNAcentral